UACUAUUAGGAGGGGAAAAAAACACACAAAGAAAAACCUGGCUGACACAGAAGGCAGGCAAAUUUCAUUAUCUCCCAUAAUUUCUGUUUCAGAACUGAAGAAGCGCUUGAGUAACUGGAAGCUUAUUUGGUUUUCCUAAUUAUAUCAGCUAUUUGGAUCACAUUCAGAAAGUUAUCAAAUCCAGACUAUUUUGAAAAGUGUGUUGGAGAGAUUUUUUAUUGGAAACUUCCUGUCGGCCAUUCCUUCCUACUUGGAAAAAGAAAGGAUACUUCGGGUGUGCUGUCCCUGCUGGUCAUGCUGGAGCAAAGCAUUUCGCUGCCUGUUCCAUGGUCUUACCCAUUUUGGAGUGGAUCUCUCAUAGAAAUGUCUGCAUUUCUGUGUGGGUAGAGUUAAAUCUACAAAAUCAGGUGUGGAGUAUUAGUACCCCUGCCUUUUUUCUUCUGACUUCAGCCCAACUGCUGCAUGAUGUGGUGAUUCCCUGAAAGCUCUGGUUUUUGGACUCAAAUGGAUAGCCAUCUUAAAACGAGUCAAGAAACACAUGGCUUUGAAUGCCCUUCCAGUGGAACCAGAGCAAGAGAAAGAGCUACUGAACCUGGAUAAGAACGAGCUUCCUCAUGGUGCCAGGAUUUUCAAGAAUUCCAGUAUUUUUCCUAUCUCCCACCAGGAAUGAAAGAUCUUUUUAAAACUUGGAUGAAAAUCUCGAAAAUAAAUUCAAGAUGAGGCCAAACUAAAUAUUUUAC
Molecule: long non-coding RNA, 740 nt
Filed under: Calidris pugnax (ruff)
Lineage: Eukaryota; Metazoa; Chordata; Aves; Charadriiformes; Scolopacidae
Description: lncRNA (ENSCPUG00000004631.1)
Source: RNAcentral